RNAcentral lists this ribosomal RNA (775 nucleotides) under uncultured Neocallimastigales. RNAcentral describes it as "partial large subunit ribosomal RNA". It matches the Rfam family "Eukaryotic large subunit ribosomal RNA", at positions 26 to 644 of the family's 3401-position model. Lineage: Eukaryota; Fungi; Neocallimastigomycota; Neocallimastigomycetes; Neocallimastigales. The record is from RNAcentral.
CGUCUAUAUACGUAUAGCAUAUCAAUAAGCGGAGGAAAAGAAACUAACAAGGAUUCCCUUAGUAACGGCGAGUGAAGCGGGAAGAGCUCAAAUUUGAAAUCUUCAAGGUUCUACCUUGACGAAUUGUAGUUUAUAGAAGUGUUUUCUGUUAGUGGAGUGGCAAAAGUUCUUUGGAAUAGGACAUCAUAGAGGGUGAGAAUCCCGUAUUUGGUCAUUCCUCCUAGCGUUGUGAUACACUUUCAAAGAGUCGGAUUGUUUGGGAAUGCAGUCCAAAAUGGGUGGUAAAUUUCAUCUAAAGCUAAAUAUUGGCGAGAGACCGAUAGCGAACAAGUACCGUGAGGGAAAGAUGAAAAGAACUUUGAAAAGAGAGUUAAACAGUACGUGAAAUUGUCAAAAGGGAAGCGUUUGACACCAGUGUUGUUUUAGUUGAAAAUCAAUUCAAUAGUUUUUGAUUCUAAGUAGUAUUGACUUCAUCAGCUUGCUGCUUUCUUCUCAGAAAUUAUUGAAUGCACUUUUCAGUUAACAAGUCAACAUCAAUUUCUUUUGUUGUAAAAGGGUAAGAGGAAGGUGGCUUGCGCUUCGGCUCAAGUGUUUAUAGCCUUUUAUCUCUGCAAUCGGAGAGAUUGAGGUCUGCAGCGUAGAUCCUUCGGGGUUAGAUACAUUGGUGCUAAGCUAUAGCCUUGUAUAGACAACUUGUUGACUAUGCUCAGUCAUGUAGCUUACUCGCUGAUGCUAUUUUACCUACGCUUAGGAUGUUGAAGAUAUGCGCGACACG